AAGACUAUACUUUCAGGGAUCAUUUCUAUGGUUCGUUACUAGUGAAGUUUCUCUGAAUGUGCAGAGCACCCGAAACCACAAGGAGGAGGUGCAGCGUCCUCUCUUGAGCGUGAAGCCAGCUCUUCGUGUUGCUUCUGCAACUGCCACUUCCCGUUGACGAUUGUUCCUCCCUCUCUUGGGAAGGGAGAGGGAAAGGACGCAUUCUGAGUAA
Myotis lucifugus (little brown bat) is the source of this 211-nucleotide small nucleolar RNA. Its record names the gene U3. It matches the Rfam family "Small nucleolar RNA U3". From Rfam's summary of the family: Small nucleolar RNAs (snoRNAs) are involved in the processing and modification of rRNA in the nucleolus. There are two main classes of snoRNAs: the box C/D class, and the box H/ACA class. The record is from Ensembl. Lineage: Eukaryota; Metazoa; Chordata; Mammalia; Chiroptera; Vespertilionidae.